AUGACCAAAAAGUAUCACCAUCAGCUUCAAAUUUUCAUGAAAGAUGUGAUGAAGAGAAAUGAAUUGACUGCAUCUCUUGGAAAUGAUGAAUUAGUCUUCACCCUGAUAAGCUUAAAGCUUUCGGUUUUUAUUGGAGAUAUACUUGCUGCUAAUUCAUCUCACAGUGAGUUCUUCAAUCUGUCGAAACAAUUUUGGAGUAUUACACCAGAGAAAAGCAUCACUUCUCAGUUACAUAAUUGGUGA
This is a non-coding RNA of Vicia faba (fava bean), 243 nucleotides long. The record is from the annotation of a GenBank genome assembly. NCBI's taxonomy places the organism in Eukaryota, Viridiplantae, Streptophyta, Magnoliopsida, Fabales, Fabaceae.